GUCGAGCGGUAGCACAGAGAGCUUGCUCUCGGGUGACGAGCGGCGGACGGGUGAGUAAUGUCUGGGAAACUGCCUGAUGGAGGGGGAUAACUACUGGAAACGGUAGCUAAUACCGCAUAACGUCGCAAGACCAAAGUGGGGGACCUUCGGGCCUCAUGCCAUCAGAUGUGCCCAGAUGGGAUUAGCUAGUAGGUGGGGUAACGGCUCACCUAGGCGACGAUCCCUAGCUGGUCUGAGAGGAUGACCAGCCACACUGGAACUGAGACACGGUCCAGACUCCUACGGGAGGCAGCAGUGGGGAAUAUUGCACAAUGGGCGCAAGCCUGAUGCAGCCAUGCCGCGUGUGUGAAGAAGGCCUUCGGGUUGUAAAGCACUUUCAGCGGGGAGGAAGGCGAUAAGGUUAAUAACCUUGUCGAUUGACGUUACCCGCAGAAGAAGCACCGGCUAACUCCGUGCCAGCAGCCGCGGUAAUACGGAGGGUGCAAGCGUUAAUCGGAAUUACUGGGCGUAAAGCGCACGCAGGCGGUCUGUCAAGUCGGAUGUGAAAUCCCCGGGCUCAACCUGGGAACUGCAUUCGAAACUGGC
This 585-nucleotide ribosomal RNA is filed under the name Klebsiella pneumoniae. RNAcentral's name for it is "bacterial SSU rRNA". It matches the Rfam family "Bacterial small subunit ribosomal RNA", at positions 61 to 637 of the family's 1533-position model. Lineage: Bacteria; Pseudomonadati; Pseudomonadota; Gammaproteobacteria; Enterobacterales; Enterobacteriaceae. The record is from RNAcentral.